This 1382-nucleotide ribosomal RNA is filed under the name metagenome. Its description in RNAcentral is "bacterial LSU rRNA". It matches the Rfam family "Bacterial large subunit ribosomal RNA", at positions 1554 to 2925 of the family's 2925-position model. The record is from RNAcentral.
AGCUGAGGCGUGAUGACGAGGAACCACGGUUCCGAAGUGAUUGAUACCAAGCUUCCAGGAAAAGCCACUAAGCUUCAGUCUAGAGUUGACCGUACCGCAAACCGACACAGGUGGGCAGGAUGAAAAUUCUAAGGCGCUUGAGAGAACUCAGGAGAAGGAACUCGGCAAAUUAACACCGUAACUUCGGGAGAAGGUGUGCCCCGGUAGCGUGUAGAGACUUGCUCUCGAAGCGCGAUGGGGUUGCAGUGAAAUGGUGGCUGCGACUGUUUAAUAAAAACACAGCACUCUGCAAACACGAAAGUGGACGUAUAGGGUGUGACGCCUGCCCGGUGCCGGAAGGUUAAGUGAUGGGGUGCAAGCUCUUGAUCGAAGCCCCGGUAAACGGCGGCCGUACUAUAACGGUCCUAAGGGCGAAAUUCCUUGUCGGGUAAGUUCCGACCUGCACGAAUGGCGUAACGAUGGCCACACUGUCUCCUCCUGGGACUCAGCGAAGUUGAAAUGUUUGUGAAGAUGCAAUCUACCCGCGGCUAGUCGGAAAGACCCCAUGAACCUUUACUGUAGCUUUGCAUUGGACUUUGAACCGGUUUGUGUAGGAUAGGUGGGAGACUGUGAAGCCGGGACGCUAGUUUCGGUGGAGUCAACCUUGAAAUACCACCCUGAUUUGUUUGAGGUUCUAACCUUGGUCCGUGAAUCCGGAUCGGGGACCGUGCAUGGUAGGCAGUUUGACUGGGGCGGUCUCCUCCCAAAAGGUAACGGAGGAGUACGAAGGUACGCUUAGGGCGGUCGGACAUCGCCCACAAAGUGCAAUGGCAAAAGCGUGCUUGGCUGCGAGACCCACAAGUCGAGCAGGUACGAAAGUAGGUCAUAGUGAUCCGGUGGUUCUGUAUGGAAGGGCCAUCGCUCAACGGAUAAAAGGUACUCUGGGGAUAACAGGCUAAUUCCUCCCAAGAGUUCAUAUCGACGGGGGAGUUUGGCACCUCGAUGUCGGCUCAUCACAUCCUGGGGCUGUAGUCGGUCCCAAGGGUAUGGCUGUUCGCCAUUUAAAGUGGUACGCGAGCUGGGUUUAAAACGUCGUGAGACAGUUUGGUCCCUAUCUGCCGUGGGCGCUGGAAAUUUGAAGGGGGCUGCUCCUAGUACGAGAGGACCGGAGUGGACGAACCUCUGGUGUACCGGUUAUGACGCCAGUCGUAUUGCCGGGUAGCUAAGUUCGGAAGAGAUAAACGCUGAAAGCAUCUAAGCGUGAAACUCGCCUUAAGAUAAGAUUUCCCGGAGUCUUGAACUCCCUGAAGGGUCGUCGAAGACCACGACGUUGAUAGGUCAGGUGUGGAAGCGCAGCAAUGCGUUAAGCUAACUGAUACUAAUUGCCCGUGCGGCUUGAACCU